UCGCAGCCUCUUAGCUCCCUGUGGAUUUAACAGGAACGUGACACACAAAAGGCAAAUGCUCUAGGAAGGAAGGAUGUUAACUCAAUAGGCUCAUCGCUUCCAAUUGAUUCCCGCCGUUCAUUUUUGAUCUUUUUGUUAGAUUUGGCCUUUAACGAGCGACGGGAUAUUUAUAGUCCGGAUCUAGCUGAUGGCUCCCAGGGCGAAAACUCUGGUUCACACUGAAGGGAAUCAGUUAAGGGGUAGACUAAAGUAGAAACACUUUGUAGUUGCUAUUUUCGGCUUCGCAAGACCAUCAUAAAUAUACCAGUUGUCAAAUCCUUUUUUUAAACUUCAUCUUCACUACUUUUGAUGACCAGAGGCUAAAUUUGCCAGCUCUUGUCAAUAAGAUCAGAAAGCGUCACCAAGAUUGCGCGCGUCUACAGCAAACUUAGCACAACACCAACACGUAACUUCAUUCACCAGUAAAUUAGGCCUGAGCAAGAUCUUAUUUAUCGCAAAUUAACGUGUUCUAAUUGAUUUAUCGAAACUACAGAGCGAAAAAAAGGCGAACAAUAAGCCCAAAUCAAUCAAUACAUACAAAUUCAUUUCAGUUCCCGAAGCGGUUGAUUGGAUUUCAACAGAACAAUAAAGCACUUAUAAUUCAAUUCUCUCUGAUGAAGUAUGCUAUGUGUCGUGCCACGCAACCUAUACAGUACAUAUGUGACUCGAAACCUUAUAAAUUAUUACUUGUCUCAAAAAUAUGUAAAAUUGCAACACUUUUUCUGGUCCUAUUAGUUCUGAGUUCGGUUGUAACUCACGGCCAAUUAACUCGUACCAACAAGCAUCAGAGUUACUACCCUCGACAGUCCAUUCGACCCUACCAUUAUUUGGGUUCACCAGGGGUCAACUACAGAAGCAGUCAUCUGUUGAGGCCACCCUACUUCAGCUGGGCUGACUUGUACAAACAGAGAAUGGCGUUGUGGCAGCAGCAGUUGAAUAGUCACGUCCCCAGUACAAACUAUGAGUCACACAGUAGACAGUUGUACAAUGGAACAUGUCAGACGAAUAUCUGUCGAACAUUUCCGGCUGGAUUCUCAAGUGCGAGGUUCUCCAAGAUACAGUGUAAAUGCCAGGAGGGUAAAAUAUGCAAAACGAUCUUCCUGUCCACGAAAAGAGAGGGACGUUGCGUGUCACCAGAUUAUAAACACCCGCAGGAAGAAAACGACACUGAGUUAUAUCCCCAUAUGUCAAGGCUGCUUGCCGGAGUACCGUGAAAACAUGCAGAGGCUGAUAUACAAAUACGAUAUGAUUAAAGAAGACCAAAAAUGCGAUUGCUAUUCGAGCACACCCCUAAAAUGGGUUAAGUUAAGUGCUUUGAAGCACAGAACAUCUGACGUGCUUCAUAACAGCAUAACUAUACUGUGGAGCCAGCAACAAAAUUGAAAGCAAUUAAUUUUCACAACAA
Long non-coding RNA from Symsagittifera roscoffensis, 1444 nucleotides. RefSeq lists it as uncharacterized. The transcript is spliced from 3 exons. NCBI's taxonomy places the organism in Eukaryota, Metazoa, Xenacoelomorpha, Acoela, Convolutidae. The record is from RefSeq and is a predicted model, not a curated record.